CCGGUAAGUAUGCAGUGAGGACAAAGCCACCCACCCACCAAGAGUCAGUCUCUCCCGGCCCUCCCGCCCUCCCUCCCCUCGUGCGCGACAGCGACCUCGCAACCCCCGGCUCCAUCGGGCGAGGGAAUGGAGGAGGAGGGCGCGAAGAAGGCGGUGCUCUUCAGGCUGUUCGGCGUCGAGGUCCGCGGCGCCGAGGAGGAGGAUGACGCGGAGCCCAUGGAGCUCAAGAAGAGCACCAGCAUGCCCAACCUCGCCUGCGCCUCCACCGACCCGAUUCUCCUGCCCGGCGAGGCCAGCAACGACAAGGGCUACGCCUCCGACGACGGCGAGCUGGCGUCCACUCCGCAGCUCAAGCGCCGCCGCCGCAAGGCCCAGGAGCGGAAGAAAGGGAUUCCGUGGACCGAGGAGGAGCACAGGAAGUUCCUGGAGGGUCUGAAGCAGCUGGGCAAGGGGGACUGGAGAGGCAUCUCCAAGAACUUCGUCACCACCAGGACGGCCACGCAGGUGGCAAGCCACGCCCAGAAGUACUUCCUCCGGCAGACCAACCCCGGCAAGAAGAAGCGCCGGGCCAGCCUCUUCGACGUCGGCAUCCCCGCUGGUCACAGCUACGACGAUCAGCUGCCAAGUCCUCAGAGUGUUGGAACCAAGCUUGCUCCUGCUGAGAAGAUACUCCACACCGACCGCGGCGACGUGCCGCUACCAAGUUAUCCAGGAGACAUCAGGGGCAACAACAACAACAACCACAACAACAUGCAGAUGCAGGCUGAUGAGCUAACUGACCAUGUGAAGAAGAGAUCAAAGUUCCACAGCGGGACGUCGCUGGCCGCCAUGGCUGCCUCCGGGCUGGAGCUGGCGAUGUCUUCGUCUGCCAGCAGCAUCCUGGAGCUCAGCAUCGCGCCCCCUCGCUGCUACGGCGCGGUCGAUGCCAUCAAGGUGCUGUGAUCGGUCCCCGGCUGCCGGGCCUGGCCUGGCCGAAGGGUUUGAUCUGGGCCACCACCAGCUUAGCUUCAUGUGGUGUCCCUGUUCUUGUUGCCGUGCUAACCUUCUUGCCCGUCGAUUCGCGUAGUAGCUUUUUCAGCUAGUGUAAGGAGUAAAAUACAUAAGAAUUGCUUGCUUUGGUACAAGUUGGUGAAGGGAAACCAGAGAGGAUAUGUAGUAGAUUUGUUUGUAAUGUAUGGUUACCAAAUUAAUUAAUGUUAUCGGUGCCUUCAUGGAGAUAUCACCAAG
This 1227-nucleotide ribosomal RNA is filed under the name Triticum aestivum (bread wheat). RNAcentral's name for it is "partial small subunit ribosomal RNA". The record is from RNAcentral. Lineage: Eukaryota; Viridiplantae; Streptophyta; Magnoliopsida; Poales; Poaceae.